AUGCGGCUAAAGUAUUUGUCAGAUGAUCCAAUACAAAAGCAAAAAGUCGCUGAAUUUGCAGAGUGGAUACUACAGAUUGGCGAUGGGAAAACAACAUCAGAUGAAGGAGAGGAUUGGAUAAAAAUACCAAAGGACCUACUGCUAGAGAAAGGAGAAAAUCGUAAAGAACAAAUCGUCAAAAGCAUAUACCCAAACUUGCUGCAAAAAUACCGUGAGCGAGAUUACCUAAGCCUGGACACAGUGUGCAAGGCCACGACAAACACCAACAUCAUGAUGAACAUGCAGCCUACUAAGUCCCUCAACACCUUGACGUCCCCAGGAAUCCCAGACCAUAAGUUAAAACUGAAGGUGGGUUUGCCGGUAAUGCUCCUAUGCAACAUCAACCAAGCAGCAGAGCAAAAAUAUAUAUAUCGUACCUUUUUGAUUUGGCAAUGGAUACCAACUCUAUUGAAUGUACCAUCAUCUCUCCCAUACCACAUACUUCCAGAAGAUCACAAUCCUAAACCCUCUAAUGAAUAG
RNAcentral lists this ribosomal RNA (519 nucleotides) under Triticum aestivum (bread wheat). Its description in RNAcentral is "partial small subunit ribosomal RNA". Lineage: Eukaryota; Viridiplantae; Streptophyta; Magnoliopsida; Poales; Poaceae. The record is from RNAcentral.